CCUACGGGGGGCAGCAGUGGGGAAUAUUGGGCAAUGGACGCAAGUCUGACCCAGCAACGCCGCGUGAAGGAAGAAGGCUUUCGGGUUGUAAACUUCUUUUAAGGGGGAAGAGCAGAAGACGGUACCCCUUGAAUAAGCCACGGCUAACUACGUGCCAGCAGCCGCGGUAAUACGUAGGUGGCAAGCGUUGUCCGGAUUUACUGGGUGGAAAGGGCGUGCAGCCGGAGAGACAAGUCAGAUGUGAAAUCCACGGGCUCAACCCGUGAACUGCAUUUGAAACUGUUUCCCUUGAGUGUCGGAGAGGUAAUCGGAAUUCCUAGUGUAGCGGUGAAAUGCGUAGAUAUUAGGAGGAACACCAGUGGCGAAGGCGGUCUGCUGGACAGCAACUGACGCUGAGGCGCGAAAGCGUGGGGAGCAAACAGGAUUAGAUACCCGAGUAGUC
This 442-nucleotide ribosomal RNA is filed under the name uncultured bacterium. RNAcentral's name for it is "partial 16S ribosomal RNA". It matches the Rfam family "Bacterial small subunit ribosomal RNA", at positions 338 to 795 of the family's 1533-position model. The record is from RNAcentral.